AUGAGCCGCUACUACGCGCCCUUUCGCGGCGCUGCCAGCGGGGACGGCGGAGGCUGCCUGCCGCUUCCUAUCAUCGCCGCUGAGGCCGCGCUAGCUGUUGUCGACGCCGCCAUUGCUGCCACCGCCUUCGUGCAGUUAGCGAGAAUUCACAGGCACAAUCAGCAACAUGGAUGGACUCGGCAAAAGAUAUUCCAUUUUAUGAUUGGCCUAUGCAACAUAGUAUUCCUUGCGUAUUUCGUAUCUACCGUCAUCGCUACUUGUGAGAAAUGGGUUUGUUGGGUACAUGGAUGCGGAUUUGUUUUGAUGGCUAGUCCGCAGAUAUUGCUUCUUGCCUCGUUUCUACUACUGUUGUCUUUCUGGGUUGACCUGUGUCAUCAGACAAAUGAUGAAGAUGAAGAUGAUGUAAGGAGUCACCAAGAAGCUUUACUAGACAGAACAAAAACCAAACCUGGCACCCGCCCUACUGAUGCCCGUCGGAAGUGUUUCCCAGGAAUACAGCUUGGAAGCCGGCAAAAAUUUGUGAUUUUGGUUCUUGUACUGUCAUUUAUUGUUAUGCUCGCCUUUGCCAUCCUCAUCUGGGUUGGUAGGGGAGAAAAUCCUAUUGAUUCAUCACUACUGAAAAAGGUUUAUUUGGAUGUGUUUUCAGUAGUUGUUCUAGUACUUGGCGCUGCUUUGGCAUGUUAUGGUGCAUUAUUGUUCUCGAAGAUGAGCAAAGUUCGUUCUGAAACCGUGUCAACUGAGAAGUGGAAGGUUGCCAGUUUAGCUGCUGUCUCACUUAUCUGUUUCUCGUCUUCUGCUAUACUAGCACUUGUUACUAAUAUUCCAGUGCUUUUGUAUUGGUACUCGACUGAGGCGGAGAUCAUAAAAAAUGCUGUUAUAUUAUUUUUAUAUUAUUUAAUAGGCUCAUCGGUGCCAUCAGGAUUUGUUUUAUGGGUCAUGAGAGAUAUGCCUCAACGACCAACAGUGGAAAGGCCCACCCAAUCGAGAGUGGUUACCUUGUUCAGGGACAGACCAUCCCCUACACAGGAUCCACAGUGGAGAGCUGCUGUUACAUCCUCUAACAAGGCCCUCAAGUCAAGCCCAAUUUAA
This 1089-nucleotide ribosomal RNA is filed under the name Triticum aestivum (bread wheat). Its description in RNAcentral is "partial small subunit ribosomal RNA". Lineage: Eukaryota; Viridiplantae; Streptophyta; Magnoliopsida; Poales; Poaceae. The record is from RNAcentral.